GGGAAACAUCAUCUUAGAUGCCACUUGUACAAUCAAAUUCCUCAAUCAAGAUGAACAACAUUCCCUCCAAGUACAAAUUUAAGCACCGGGCACAAACUUGGUGGCGUAAAUCCAAGCAUUGUUGGCGACGGGGUUGUCAAGGUGGUCGAACAGAUUCUCCAGCGGCCCCUUGCCGGUGACGAUCGCCUGAACGAAGAAUCCGAACAUCGAGAACAUGGCCAACCUCCCAUUCUUAAUCUCCUUAACCUUGAGCUCGGCGAAUGUGACAGGGUCGUCAGCGAGCCCCAGCGGGUCGAAGUAGGUACCACCGGGGUAGAGGUCAUUGCCCUCACCAACACCGGGCAAGCCAUUGAUGCGGAAGCCCUCGACUGCACCCAUGAGGAGAACCUGAAACCCUAGAACAGCAAGAAUGCUCUGUGCAUGGACCAAAUUAGGGUUUCCUAGGUAGUCAAGCCCGCCAUCGGAGAAGAUCUGCGCACCGGCCUUGAACCAUACCGGCUCCUUGAACUCCACCCUCAACCACUUCGCUAGAGCCUCCGGGGUGACACACCCUAGCGCCCCCAGCAUCGCCCACCGCCCGUGGAUCACCUCAAGAGCACGGUUCUUGGCAAAGGCCUCGGGGUCAGCGGAGAGUCCGGCGGUGUCCCACCCGUAGUCACCGGGGAAUUCUCCGGUGAGGUAG
RNAcentral lists this unclassified non-coding RNA (682 nucleotides) under Hevea brasiliensis (rubber tree). The record is from RNAcentral. Lineage: Eukaryota; Viridiplantae; Streptophyta; Magnoliopsida; Malpighiales; Euphorbiaceae.